RNAcentral lists this ribosomal RNA (426 nucleotides) under uncultured bacterium. RNAcentral's name for it is "bacterial SSU rRNA". It matches the Rfam family "Bacterial small subunit ribosomal RNA", at positions 359 to 776 of the family's 1533-position model. The record is from RNAcentral.
GAAUAUUGGACAAUGGGCGCAAGCCUGAUCCAGCAAUGCCGCGUGUGUGAAGAAGGCCUGCGGGUUGUAAAGCACUUUCAGUGGGGAAGAAAUAGCUCGGGGCUAAUACCUCCGGGAAUUGACGUUACCCACAGAAGAAGCACCGGCUACCUCCGUGCCAUCCGCCGCGGUAAUACGGAGGGUGCAAGCGUUAAUCGGAAUUACUGGGCGUAAAGGGCACGCAGGUGGCUUGGCGAGUCGGGUGUGAAAGCCCUGGGCUUAACCUGGGAAUUGCAUUCGAUACUGCCGAGCUAGAGUAUGGGAGAGGAAAGUGGAAUUCCCGGUGUAGCGGUGAAAUGCGUAGAUAUCGGGAGGAACAUCAGUGGCGAAGGCGGCUUUCUGGCCCAAUACUGACACUCAUGUGCGAAAGCGUGGGGAGCAAACAGG